RNAcentral lists this ribosomal RNA (440 nucleotides) under uncultured bacterium. RNAcentral describes it as "partial 16S ribosomal RNA". It matches the Rfam family "Bacterial small subunit ribosomal RNA", at positions 338 to 795 of the family's 1533-position model. The record is from RNAcentral.
CCUACGGGUGGCAGCAGUGGGGGAUAUUGCACAAUGGGGGAAACCCUGAUGCAGCGACGCCGCGUGGGUGAAGAAGCGCCUCGGCGCGUAAAGCCCUGUCAGCAGGGAAGAAAAUGACGGUAUCUGAAGAAGAAGCCCCGGCUAACUACGUGCCAGCAGCCGCGGUAAUACGUAGGGGGCAAGCGUUAUCCGGAUUUACUGGGUGUAAAGGGGGCGCAGACGGCGAUGCAAGCCAGGAGUGAAAGCCCGGGGCCCAACCCCGGGACUGCUCUUGAAACUGCGUGGCUAGAGUGCAGGAGGGGCAGGCGGAAGUCCUGGUGUAGCGGUGAAAUGCGUAGAUAUCAGGAAGAACACCGGUGGCGAAGGCGGACUACUGGACUGCAACUGACGUUGAGGCGCGAAAGCGUGGGGAGCAAACAGGAUUAGAUACCCUAGUAGUC